This 530-nucleotide ribosomal RNA is filed under the name Ligilactobacillus faecis. RNAcentral describes it as "bacterial SSU rRNA". It matches the Rfam family "Bacterial small subunit ribosomal RNA", at positions 67 to 564 of the family's 1533-position model. Lineage: Bacteria; Bacillati; Bacillota; Bacilli; Lactobacillales; Lactobacillaceae. The record is from RNAcentral.
CGAACUUCUUUAUCACCGAGUGCUUGCACUCACCGAUAAAGAGUUGAGUGGCGAACGGGUGAGUAACACGUGGGCAACCUGCCCGAAAGAGGGGGAUAACACUUGGAAACAGGUGCUAAUACCGCAUAACCAUGAACACCGCAUGGUGUUUAUGUGAAAGGUGGUUUCGGCUACCGCUUUCGGAUGGGCCCGCGGCGCAUUAGCUAGUUGGUGGGGUAAAGGCUUACCAAGGCAAUGAUGCGUAGCCGAACUGAGAGGUUGAUCGGCCACAUUGGGACUGAGACACGGCCCAAACUCCUACGGGAGGCAGCAGUAGGGAAUCUUCCACAAUGGGCGAAAGCCUGAUGGAGCAACGCCGCGUGGGUGAAGAAGGUCUUCGGAUCGUAAAACCCUGUUGUCAGAGAAGAAAGUGCAUGAGAGUAACUGUUCAUGUUUCGACGGUAUCUGACCAGAAAGCCACGGCUAACUACGUGCCAGCAGCCGCGGUAAUACGUAGGUGGCAAGCGUUAUCCGGAUUUAUUGGGCGUAAA